UUUAAAUGGCCGCAGUAUACUAACUGUGCAAAGGUAGCAUAAUCAUUAGUCUUUUAAUUGGAGGCUGGUAUGAAUGGUUGGACGAGAUAUUAACUGUUUCAUAAAGAUUUUUAUUAGAAUUUUAUUUUUUAGUCAAAAAGCUAAAAUUUAUUUAAAAGACGAGAAGACCCUAUAAAUCUUUAUAUUUACAUUAUUAUAAUUUUAUAGAUUAUUUUUAUUAUGAUAAUAAUAAUAUUUUAUUGGGGUGAUAUUAAAAUUUAAUAAACUUUUAAUUUUUAAAAUCAUUAAUUUAUGAGCAAUUGAUCCGUUAUUAACGAUUAAAAAAUCAAGUUACUUUAGGGAUAACAGCGUAAUUUUUUUGGAGAGUUCUUAUCGAUAAAAAAGAUUGCGACCUCGAUGUUGGAUUAAGAUAUAAUUUUAGGUGUAGUCGCUUAAA
This 436-nucleotide ribosomal RNA is filed under the name Nanna inermis. RNAcentral describes it as "partial 16S ribosomal RNA". It matches the Rfam family "Bacterial large subunit ribosomal RNA", at positions 1922 to 2567 of the family's 2925-position model. Lineage: Eukaryota; Metazoa; Arthropoda; Insecta; Diptera; Scathophagidae. The record is from RNAcentral.